AACUUGAAAUCGCAUUAUAUGACCCCUUUAACUUACUUUACUGUUAAGUACUAAGAAUGCAAGAAAUAUUGUGAUACCGAUACCAUACCGGCUAUAGGCCCAUGCUGUUAUUUAGCUGGAAGAAAUGUAUUCCUCAGAGAAUCAGCAUUGUAUAAAGCAAUUAAAUACCUAACUUUCACUAAACAUUGGUAAAAACCUUGCUAAAAUGUAUUAUAAAGACAGUACAGGUCAGGAAAAAAACGAAAACAAACAAACAUUCACAUUAACCGAUUUAUUUAUUUCUACAUGUCUAGUGACAUCCUGGAAUUUUCAAAGUACAUAAAGUUUAGACCAUUUU
Sinocyclocheilus anshuiensis is the source of this 337-nucleotide long non-coding RNA. RefSeq lists it as uncharacterized. The transcript is spliced from 2 exons. The record is from RefSeq and is a predicted model, not a curated record. Lineage: Eukaryota; Metazoa; Chordata; Actinopteri; Cypriniformes; Cyprinidae.